This 484-nucleotide ribosomal RNA is filed under the name uncultured bacterium. Its description in RNAcentral is "partial 16S ribosomal RNA". It matches the Rfam family "Bacterial small subunit ribosomal RNA", at positions 30 to 507 of the family's 1533-position model. The record is from RNAcentral.
AUUGAACGCUGGCGGCAGGCCUAACACAUGCAAGUCGAGCGGAUGAAGGGAGCUUGCUCCUGGAUUCAGCGGCGGACGGGUGAGUAAUGCCUAGGAAUCUGCCUGGUAGUGGGGGAUAACAUCCGGAAACGGGCGCUAAUACCGCAUACGUCCUGAGGGAGAAAGUGGGGGAUCUUCGGACCUCACGCUAUCAGAUGAGCCUAGGUCGGAUUAGCUAGUUGGUGGGGUAAAGGCCUACCAAGGCGACGAUCCGUAACUGGUCUGAGAGGAUGAUCAGUCACACUGGAACUGAGACACGGUCCAGACUCCUACGGGAGGCAGCAGUGGGGAAUAUUGGACAAUGGGCGAAAGCCUGAUCCAGCCAUGCCGCGUGUGUGAAGAAGGUCUUCGGAUUGUAAAGCACUUUAAGUUGGGAGGAAGGGCAGUAAGUUAAUACCUUGCUGUUUUGACGUUACCAACGGAAUAAGCACCGGCUAACUUCGUG